RNAcentral lists this ribosomal RNA (899 nucleotides) under uncultured bacterium. RNAcentral's name for it is "bacterial SSU rRNA". It matches the Rfam family "Bacterial small subunit ribosomal RNA", at positions 8 to 916 of the family's 1533-position model. The record is from RNAcentral.
AGAGUUUGAUCCUGGCUCAGGAUGAACGCUGGCGGCGUGCCUAAUACAUGCAAGUCGAACGAGGUGCUUUUGUAGCAAUACGGAGGUAUCCUAGUGGCGAACGGGUGAGUAACGCGUUGGUGACCUACCCCAAAGUGUGGGAUAACAGUUCGAAAGGAUUGCUAAUACCGCAUGUGGUCUUCGGAUUUAGAAACUGAUGACUAAAGGAGUAAUCCGCUUUGGGAGGGACCUGCGUCCCAUCAGCUAGUUGGUGAGGUAACGGCUCACCAAGGCGACGACGGGUAGGGGACCUGAGAGGGUGGCCCCCCACAAUGGAACUGAAACACGGUCCAUACACCUACGGGUGGCAGCAGUAGGGAAUAUUGCACAAUGGGCGAAAGCCUGAUGCAGCAACGCCGCGUGUGCGAUGAAGGCCUUCGGGUCGUAAAGCACUUUUCUGAGGGAUGAGCAAGGACAGUACCUCAGGAAUAAGUCUCGGCUAACUACGUGCCAGCAGCCGCGGUAAAACGUAGGAGGCAAGCGUUAUCCGGAUUCACUGGGCGUAAAGCGCGUGCAGGCGGUUCGGUAAGUUGGGCGUGAAAUCUCCUGGCUUAACUAGGAGAGGUCGUUCAAUACUACCGGACUUGAGAGUGGUAGAGGAAGAUGGAAUUCCCGGUGUAGUGGUGAAAUGCGUAGAUAUCGGGAGGAACACCAGUGGCGAAAGCGAUCUUCUGGACCAUUUCUGACGCUCAGACGCGAAAGCUAGGGUAGUAAACGGGAUUAGAGACCCCGGUAAUCCUAGCCGUAAACGAUGUAAACUUGGCGUCGGUGGCUUAAACUCCAUCGGUGCCGCAGCUAACGCGAUAAGUUUACCGCCUGGGGACUACGAUCGCAAGAUUAAAACUCAAAGGAAUUGACGG